GAAUGGGGCACCUGAUCCAUUCAUGCCGCGUGAGUGAAGAAGGCCUUCGGGUUGUAAAGCUCUUUUGUCAGGGAAGAAACACCGGCUCUAACACAGUCCGGGAAUGACGGUACCUGAAGAAUAAGCACCGGCUAACUACGUGCCAGCAGCCGCGGUAAUACGUAGGGUGCGAGCGUUAAUCGGAAUUACUGGGCGUAAAGCGUGCGCAGGCGGUUAUACAAGACAGGCGUGAAACCCCGGGCUUAACCUGGGAAUGGCGCCUGUGACUGUAUAGCUAGAGUGUGUCAGAGGGGGGUAGAAUUCCACGUGUAGCAGUGAAAUGCGUAGAUAUGUGGAGGAAUACCAAUGGCGAAGGCAGCCCCCUGGGAUAACACUGACGCUCAUGCACGAAAGCGUGGGGAGCAAACAGGAUUAGAUACCCUGGUAGUCCACGCCCUAAACGAUGCUGACUAGUUGUUCGGGAUUUACAUCCUGAGUAACGUAGCUAACGCGUGAAGUCAGCCGCCUGGGGAGUACGGUCGCAAGAUUAAAACUCAAAGGAAUCGACGGGGACCCGCACAAGCGGUGGAUGAUGUGGAUUAAUUCGAUGCAACGCGAAAAAACUUACCUACCCUUGACAUGUCACUAACGAAGUAGAGAUUCCUUAGGUGCUCGUAAGA
Molecule: ribosomal RNA, 659 nt
Filed under: uncultured bacterium
Lineage: Bacteria
Description: bacterial SSU rRNA
Rfam family: Bacterial small subunit ribosomal RNA
Source: RNAcentral